Molecule: long non-coding RNA, 579 nt
Organism: Mercurialis annua (annual mercury)
Lineage: Eukaryota; Viridiplantae; Streptophyta; Magnoliopsida; Malpighiales; Euphorbiaceae
Exons: 2
Source: RefSeq, a predicted model, not a curated record
AUGUGAGAAGAAACUGAGCUCCGUGUUAACUCAGUUGACUCGCUACGUUGGAAUUAGUAAAUUGGAUAUAAUAUUUCUAUUUAUUAUUAUUUGACUUUACCCUUCCGGAUUAUAUGGUAUAUAUGAGCUCAAUAGGCUUGAUUUAUUUACGGCAUUAUAAUUUAUUUGAGAAUUGUGUUUCUCUGUGAUUUAUCUGGUUAUUUAAUUGUGCUAGUCCUACGUGGUGUCUAGUAAUCUUAGAGUUAGGGGUCGUUCAGAUAUUAACCUAUUUAUUAUUUUAGACCCGUCGACUGCUCGUGCUUCGGAGUCUACGGAGGGUUAGCUGUUUGCCAAGAUCACGUGGAUAAGCAAGCAGUUUAUGAUUUGAGAGCUGGUCCACUCCGAUUCUUUUGAUUCCUCGGAGGUUUUUAUGUUAUUAAACUAGUUUCUAUUUUUCGAACUCUUAGACCGCAGUAGAACUAGUUUAUACAUUACUUAUUAUUGUACUUUGGGAUUGUCGAUUGAGCGACUAUUUAUAUUUGCCAUGUUCACUCUGGAAUAUUAUUUAUUUAUAUAUAAGGCAUGCUGUUGAACCUUUCA